GUUAAUGAUUUUAGGUGCUUGCACUUGAAAGAUUUAACAUUGAGACGAGUGGCGAACUGGUGAGUAACACGUGGGUAACCUGCCCUUGAAGUAGGGGAUAACACUUGGAAACAGGUGCUAAUACCGUAUAACAACCAAAACCACCUGGUUUUGGUUUAAAAGACGGCUUCGGCUGUCACUUUAGGAUGGACCCGCGGCGUAUUAGCUUGUUGGUAAGGUAACGGCUUACCAAGGCGAUGAUACGUAGCCGACCUGAGAGGGUAAUCGGCCACAUUGGGACUGAGACACGGCCCAAACUCCUACGGGAGGCAGCAGUAGGGAAUCUUCCACAAUGGACGAAAGUCUGAUGGAGCAACGCCGCGUGAGUGAUGAAGGGUUUCGGCUCGUAAAACUCUGUUGUUGGAGAAGAACAGGUGUCAGAGUAACUGUUGACAUCUUGACGGUAUCCAACCAGAAAGCCACGGCUAACUACGUGCCAGCAGCCGCGGUAAUACGUAGGUGGCAAGCGUUGUCCGGAUUUAUUGGGCGUAAAGCGAGCGCAGGCGGUUUUUUAGGUCUGAUGUGAAAGCCUUCGGCUUAACCGGAGAAGUGCAUCGGAAACCGGGAGACUUGAGUGCAGAAGAGGACAGUGGAACUCCAUGUGUAGCGGUGAAAUGCGUAGAUAUAUGGAAGAACACCAGUGGCGAAGGCGGCUGUCUGGUCUGUAACUGACGCUGAG
This 718-nucleotide ribosomal RNA is filed under the name Lentilactobacillus buchneri. RNAcentral's name for it is "bacterial SSU rRNA". It matches the Rfam family "Bacterial small subunit ribosomal RNA", at positions 57 to 750 of the family's 1533-position model. The record is from RNAcentral. Lineage: Bacteria; Bacillati; Bacillota; Bacilli; Lactobacillales; Lactobacillaceae.